AUGGGGCUUGUAUUGUGGCAUUCAUUGUUUCUCUUCUUAAGUUUGGUUUCCACGUCAUGGAGUUUGAAUUCAGAUGGUCGCGCCCUUCUUGCUCUGUCCAAAAAUCUCAUAUUGCCUAGUUCCAUAAAGUCAAGUUGGAAUGCUUCUGAUACAACCCCAUGUAACUGGACUGGAAUUAGUUGUGAUGAAAGGAACAAUGUGGUUUCUCUUGACCUAACAUCGUCUGGAGUUUCUGGUUCAUUAGGAGUUCAAAUAGGUCUUCUAAAGUACAUACAAGUCAUCAUUUUGCUAAACAAUAGCAUAUCUGGUCCAAUCCCUCAAGAACUGGGCAAUUGUAGCAUGCUUGAACAGUUGGAUCUUUCCAUGAACUUCCUUUCUGGUGAAAUACCAGAAUCACUGUCCAACCUAAAAAAACUAUCAUCAUUCUCGUUGUACACUAACUCCCUCAGUGGGGAAAUACCAGAGGGGUUGUUCAAGAACCAGUUUCUGCAGGACGUGUACCUCCAUGGGAAUAAUCUCAGUGGUUCUAUCCCUUCAUCAGUUGGUGAAAUGACAAGCCUUAGAUCAUUUUGGUUGACGAAGAAUGCAUUAUCUGGAGGUCUGCCAGAUUCAAUUGGCAACUGCACCAAGUUGGAGGAGCUCUAUCUACUGGAUAAUCAGUUGAGCGGGAGCCUUCCAAAAACCUUGAGCUAUGUCAAAGGACUGAAAGUUUUAGAUGCCACUGGAAAUAGCUUUACCGGAGAGAUUGAUUUCAGUUUUGAGAACUGCAAGUUGGAGAUAUUCAUAUUGUCGUUCAAUCAUAUGAGUGGCGGUAUUCCAUCAUGGCUAGGGAAUUGCACUAGCUUGACACAACUUGCACUUGUCGACAACCGUUUCACUGGCCAAAUUCCGGCUUCUCUUGGCCUAUUGAGCAACCUCACCUUGCUUAUGCUUUCUCAAAACUCCUUGUCUGGCUCAAUCCCUCCUGAGAUUGGUAACUGUUGGUUGCUGGAGUGGCUAGAGUUGGAUCAUAACAUGCUCGAGGGCACUGUUCCUAAAGAGCUGGCUAAUCUGAGACACUUGCAGAAGCUCUUUCUUUUCGAGAAUCGCCUGACCGGGGAGUUUCCUGAGGGUAUUUGGAGCAUCCGGUACCUUCAAAGUGUUCUUAUUUACAGCAAUGGUUUUACUGGGAAGCUACCUCUUAAGUUAGCUGAAUUGAAGUUAUUGGAGAACAUCACAUUGUUCGAUAAUUUCUUCACCGGAGUCAUACCCCCGGGUUUGGGUGUUAAUAGCCCUUUACAGCAAAUUGAUUUCACCAACAACAGUUUUACCGGUGGAAUACCUCCGUACAUUUGUUCAAGGAAAAGACUCAGGGUGUUGGUUUUGGGUCUCAAUCAUCUGAAUGGUAGCAUCCCAUCCAAUGUUGCAGAUUGCCCAGGUUUGGAACGAAUCAUUCUCAAAAACAAUGAUCUUACUGGGCCCAUUCCACAUUUUAGAAACUGUGCAGCGCUGGGCUAUAUGGAUUUCAGUCAUAAUUCUUUAAGUGGAGAUAUUCCAGCAAGCUUGGGAAAAUGCAUAAAUACUACAAUGAUAAACUGGUCAGCAAACAAACUUGUUGGUCCAAUACCACCUGAAGUUAGAAACUUGGUGAAUUUGGAAGUUCUUAACCUCUCACAAAACAGUCUACAGGGUGCACUUCCAGCUCAGGUUUCUAGUUGCUCCAAGCUGCUUAUUUUGGAUUUGAGUUUUAACUCUCUGCAUGGUCCGGCACUCACGACAUUGGUUAUGCUUCUUGAGCUGCAACUUGGUGGCAACAUUCUUGGAGGCAGAAUCCCUUCGUCGUUAGGAAAGUUGAUCAAACUCAUUGCAUUCAAUCUCAGCAGCAACGGACUGGUGGGUGAUAUUCCAACACCAUUGGGCAAUUUGGUGGAACUGCAAAGUUUAGAUUUGUCAGUUAAUAACCUCACUGGAGCUCUCGGCGCAUUAGGGAGUCUACAUUCAUUGCACGCCUUGAAUCUUUCCUAUAAUAGGUUCAGUGGACCAGUGCCAGAAUAUCUUCUGAAAUUUCUGAACUCCACACCAAGCUCUUUUAAUGGAAAUUCGGGUCUCUGUAUCUCUUGCCGUGACAAUGAUUCUUCUUGCAAGAGAUCUAAUGUGCUGAAACCUUGUGGAGGAUCAGGGAAAAAAGGAAUAAAGCGUCGAUUCAAGGUUGCUCUUAUUAUUCUUGGUUCAUUGUUCAUUGGAGCAGUAGCGGUACUUAUCCUCUGCUGUAUCCUUCUAAAGAAUCGAGAUUCGAAGACAAAAAGUGAGGAGACAAUCAGUAAUUUGCUUGAAGGCUCUUCUUCUAAAUUAAAUGAGAUCAUAGAAAAGACAGAAAACUUUGAUGACAAGUAUAUCAUAGGCGCAGGUGCGCAUGGGACUGUGUACAAGGCAAUAUUGAAUUCAGGGGAGGUCUUUGCCAUAAAGAAGCUUGCGAUUUCAGCGCGCAGCAGCUCCUACAAAAGCAUGAUCAGAGAGCUGAAGACACUUGGUAAAGUUCGGCACAGGAACUUGAUAAAGCUGAAGGAAUUUUGGGUGAGAGGCGACUCUGGGUUCAUACUGUAUGACUUCAUGGAGCAUGGUAGCCUCUAUGAUGUCCUGCACAGGAUCCGGACGCCGAGUCUGGACUGGAGCAUGCGCUAUAACAUAGCUCUUGGAACUGCCCAUGGUCUGGCAUAUCUUCACCAUGACUCUGUCCCUGCGAUCAUUCAUCGAGAUAUUAAGCCAAGCAAUAUAUUGUUAAACAAGGACAUGGUGCCGCGCAUCGCGGAUUUCGGCAUAGCAAAGAUCAUGGAUCAGUGUUCUGCUGCUCCACAGUCCACCGGGGUCGUCGGCACCACUGGAUAUAUGGCACCAGAGCUGGCAUUUUCCACCAGAAACAGUAUCAAGACCGACGUGUACAGCUACGGCGUCGUCCUGCUCGAGCUUAUAACAGGAAAGACGGCGGUGGAUCCCUCAUUCCCGGAGAACAUGGACAUUGUCGCCUGGGUGCCCCACGCCCUGAACGGCGCUGAGCAGAUCGGGCCCGUCUGCGACCCGGCCCUCCUGGACGAAGUGUACAGCACUGUCGAAAUGGAGGAGGUGCGCAAGGUCCUGCGCUUGGCCCUUAGGUGCACAGCGAAGGAGCCGAGUCAACGACCGUCCAUGGUCGACGUCGUGAAGGAGCUGACUGACGCGAGGUUCGCGGGCAUCCCUUCGUCGUCGAAGCAGGGGAAGCCGGGCUCCUCCUCCGGCGGCGGCUCUUCUUGA
Molecule: ribosomal RNA, 3267 nt
Filed under: Triticum aestivum (bread wheat)
Lineage: Eukaryota; Viridiplantae; Streptophyta; Magnoliopsida; Poales; Poaceae
Description: partial small subunit ribosomal RNA
Source: RNAcentral